GCCCAGAGCCUGAAUCAGUGUGUGUGUUAGUGGAAGCGUCUGGAAAGGCGUGCGAUACAGGGUGACAGCCCCGUACACAAAAAUGCACAUAUUGUGAGCUUGAUGAGUAGGGCGGGACACGUGGUAUCCUGUCUGAAUAUGGGGGGACCAUCCUCCAAGGCUAAAUACUCCUGACUGACCGAUAGUGAACCAGUACCGUGAGGGAAAGGCGAAAAGAACCCCGGCGAGGGGAGUGAAAAAGAACCUGAAACCGUGUACGUACAAGCAGUGGGAGCACGCUUAGGCGUGUGACUGCGUACCUUUUGUAUAAUGGGUCAGCGACUUAUAUUCUGUAGCAAGGUUAACCGAAUAGGGGAGCCGAAGGGAAACCGAGUCUUAACUGGGCGUUAAGUUGCAGGGUAUAGACCCGAAACCCGGUGAUCUAGCCAUGGGCAGGUUGAAGGUUGGGUAACACUAACUGGAGGACCGAACCGACUAAUGUUGAAAAAUUAGCGGAUGACUUGUGGCUGGGGGUGAAAGGCCAAUCAAACCGGGAGAUAGCUGGUUCUCCCCGAAAGCUAUUUAGGUAGCGCCUCGUGAAUUCAUCUCCGGGGGUAGAGCACUGUUUCGGCA
This 612-nucleotide ribosomal RNA is filed under the name Shigella sonnei. RNAcentral's name for it is "partial 23S ribosomal RNA". It matches the Rfam family "Bacterial large subunit ribosomal RNA", at positions 296 to 920 of the family's 2925-position model. Lineage: Bacteria; Pseudomonadati; Pseudomonadota; Gammaproteobacteria; Enterobacterales; Enterobacteriaceae. The record is from RNAcentral.